Non-coding RNA from Lonchura striata (white-rumped munia), 4219 nucleotides. The record is from RefSeq and is a predicted model, not a curated record. Lineage: Eukaryota; Metazoa; Chordata; Aves; Passeriformes; Estrildidae.
ACAGGCGCGGCGGGCGGGCUGAGGCGAGCGGAGCCCGGGCGGCGUCGAGCGGGGCGAGGGGCGCGGGCUGGAGCCGCUGCCCACCGGCCCCACAGCCGGGGAGGGCUGCGGGAAGGGUUAGUGCGAGCUCGCCUGUGCCAAGAGCCGUGCCGGAACCAUGGGGAACCGCGGGAUGGAGGAUCUCAUCCCGCUGGUCAACCGGCUGCAGGACGCCUUCGCCGCCAUCGGGCAGAACGCCAACCUCGACCUGCCGCAGAUCGCCGUGGUGGGGGGGCAGAGCGCCGGCAAGAGCUCCGUGCUGGAGAAUUUCGUCGGGAGAGACUUUCUGCCACGUGGAUCUGGCAUCGUAACCAGGCGCCCACUGGUCCUUCAGCUGGUAAAUGCCAGCACAGAAUAUGGCGAAUUCCUGCACUGCAAAGGAAAGAAAUUCACUGAUUUUGAGGAGGUCCGUUUGGAGAUUGAGGCUGAAACAGAUCGUGUUACUGGCUCCAACAAAGGGAUUUCCCCUGUGCCCAUCAAUCUCCGAGUCUACUCUCCCCAUGUCCUGAACCUGACUUUGGUGGAUCUGCCGGGUAUGACAAAAGUCCCUGUAGGGGAUCAGCCCCCUGACAUCGAGUUCCAGAUCCGAGACAUGCUCAUGCAGUUUGUCACGAAAGAGAACUGCCUCAUCUUGGCAGUAUCUCCAGCCAACUCUGAUCUGGCCAAUUCUGAUGCCCUGAAGAUUGCAAAGGAGGUGGAUCCUCAAGGCCAGCGCACCAUUGGGGUCAUCACCAAGCUGGAUCUUAUGGAUGAAGGAACUGAUGCACGAGAUGUAUUAGAAAACAAAUUGCUUCCCCUCCGUAGGGGUUACAUUGGUGUGGUCAACAGAAGUCAGAAGGACAUAGAUGGCAAGAAGGACAUUCAGGCAGCUCUGGCUGCAGAGAGAAAAUUUUUUCUCUCCCACCCAGCCUACAGACACAUGGCUGAUCGCAUGGGAACCCCCUUCCUGCAAAAAGUUCUGAACCAGCAACUGACCAACCACAUCCGUGACACGCUGCCAGGGCUGCGGAACAAGCUCCAGAGCCAGCUCCUCUCCAUUGAGAAGGAGGUGGAGGAGUACAAGAACUUUCGCCCUGAUGACCCUGCUCGCAAGACCAAAGCUCUGCUUCAGAUGGUCCAGCAGUUUGCUGUGGACUUUGAGAAACGCAUUGAAGGCUCUGGAGACCAAAUUGACACCUAUGAGCUGUCAGGAGGAGCUCGGAUCAACCGCAUCUUCCAUGAGCGUUUCCCCUUUGAGCUGGUGAAGAUGGAGUUUGAUGAGAAGGAGCUGCGGCGGGAGAUCAGCUACGCCAUCAAGAACAUCCACGGUAUCAGAACCGGUCUCUUCACACCUGACAUGGCCUUUGAGACCAUUGUGAAAAAGCAGGUGAAGAAGAUUAAAGAACCUUGCCUGAAAUGCGUGGACAUGGUCAUUUCGGAGUUAAUCAAUACUGUUAGACAGUGCACCAAGAAGCUCAGCCAGUACCCUCAUCUGCGUGAGGAGAUGGAGAGGAUUGUCACCACCCACAUCCGUGAGAGAGAAGGCAGGACCAAGGAUCAGGUCAUGCUCCUAAUAGACAUUGAGCUGGCUUACAUGAACACAAACCACGAGGAUUUCAUUGGCUUUGCCAAUGCUCAGCAGAGGAGCAGCCAGAUGAGCAAGAAGAAGGCAGCUGGUAACCAGGAUGAGAUCCUGGUGAUCCGGAAAGGCUGGCUCACCAUCAACAACAUUGGCAUCAUGAAGGGAGGCUCCAAGGAGUAUUGGUUUGUCCUGACAGCGGAGAACCUCUCCUGGUACAAGGAUGAUGAGGAGAAGGAGAAGAAGUACAUGUUACCAGUGGAUAACCUGAAACUGCGAGAUGUGGAGAAGGGCUUCAUGUCCAGCAAGCACAUCUUUGCUCUCUUCAACACUGAACAGAGGAAUGUUUACAAGGACUACCGGCAGCUGGAGCUGGCCUGUGAGACCCAGGAGGAGGUGGACAGCUGGAAGGCUUCCUUCCUUCGGGCAGGAGUCUACCCUGAGCGUGUUGGGGACAAGGACAAAGCCAGUGAAGCAGAGGAGAAUGGAGGAGAUAGCUUCAUGCACUCCAUGGAUCCUCAGCUGGAGAGACAAGUGGAAACGAUCAGGAACCUGGUGGAUUCCUACAUGGCAAUUGUCAACAAAACCAUCAGAGACCUCAUGCCGAAGACAAUUAUGCACCUCAUGAUUAACAAUACCAAGGACUUCAUCCAUUCAGAGCUGCUGGCGAACCUGUACUCUUGUGGUGACCAGAACACGCUGAUGGAGGAGUCGGCGGAGCAGGCCCAGCGCCGUGACGAAAUGCUGCGCAUGUACCACGCCCUGAAAGAGGCCCUCAACAUCAUCGGGGACAUCAACACCAGCACCAUCAGCACCCCCAUGCCCCCACCGGUGGACGACUCCUGGCUGCAGGUGCAGAGCGUACCGUCUGGACGCAGGUCCCCCACAUCCAGCCCCACGCCGCAGAGGAGAGCUCCUGCAGUGCCCCCCGCCAGACCUGGGUCUCGCGGACCAGCUCCUGGGCCACCUCCUGCUGGUGGCUCCACACUGGGUGGUGCCCCCCCUGUGCCCUCCAGGCCAGGUGCCUCUCCUGAUCCCUUCGGGCCCCCACCUCAGGUUCCUUCUCGGCCUAAUCGUGCUCCUCCUGGUGUUCCCAGUUGUUCAUAGACUCCUCCGGAUCCUGAUACCAGCUUGUCAUUUGAGUUCACUGAUGAAUGGAGAAUUUCCAAUGACAAGGGACUCUUUCUCUUCCUCUCCUGUAUAUAGAAUAAGAAUGUUCCCUGCUAGCACUUGGACUCGGGUCCUUCUGCCAUGGAAUCACUAUCAGUGACCCCUGAGGACUGGCAGCCACGAAGGGGCCCCGCCUCACCUACUCGACCUACCAUAAUCCGACCGGCUGAACCGUCCCUCUUAGAUUUAUAACUUGAGGCUGUAGACAGCUGGCGACGAGUGCCGUGCUGGUGGCUUCCCCAUUCCACCCUCCCUUCCACAGCCACAGUCACUCCUCUCAUCCAUCCCACAUCCCUGCCUCCCACCACCCCUCCCUGGUGUGUCGUAAAACUCUAGCCUAGUGAUUGAGCUCUUCGUCUUCGCUCGUGCGUCCUGUAUUGCUUUGUGAGCAUAGAGUAGCCUUCAUUCAGUGGCAUGGAUCCCUGAAGUACACGGGCUCCUUGGAGAGAUCAGCCACAGGGACAUCCUCAGGUCCACGUGGUGGCUGUCCGUCCAGUAAUUCCACCUGCCUAGUCUAGCUUGGAUAAGUGUCCUGCCUGCGCCAGUUAGCUGUAGCACCCAGGACUGAACUGUAGCUGUUUUCUUUCCUUGUAGUUUAAGACAAAAGCGUGGCUUAGUAAAAAUGCGCUGUCAAAACACACGACACCUGUUAGGAACAGAUUAAAUGUCCUGUGUAUUAGCUUGACUUCUAAGGUGCAAAAAUUUCAUGUUGGGAACAGUGCAAUCAACUUCAUAUCUAAGUGAGGCAGAGAGAUCAGUAAGGGGGGUAUCAGUGGACCAGCCCAGUCCUGCCCGAGUGAAGUCUGAGAUAGCGCACACACCUCGGCGUGCAGGGAGCUCACGGACCUGCUCACACUCGGCUCCUGGAGCCGGGCCAUUCCUGCUGGGGGCAUGCUGGCUCCUGCCAGCACUUGUCUUGCAUCACCAAUUUUGGCUGACUUUCCUGAACCCAGCAGGGCGAGGGGAAUAGACACGCUGCUCCCCCCUUGCGAACGGACAGCCAAACGUUUCAGGGAGUUCACUGUGUGGUGUUUUGUUGAAAAUAUUUCUGCUUUGAACUAAGCACAUCUUUCAGUGUUUUUUGGGGUACUGUGGUGACUUUUUCCGUAGCCUUUUCUUGCAUGUGGAUGGUACGUGUUUGGGGAAACUUGUAACCAUUGUUGAUCACAACUCAUCUUGAAGUUUGGUUUUUACUUUUCAUGCUACGUGUGUUUAAAGAAAAAAAAAAAAAGACUUGAGAAUUAAAAAAAUAUAUCAACCCUGUACAUCUCAGAUGUCAUGUCUCUACCAGAGCUAAAUGAACCACCCGUGUUGCGGGCUGUCCUCCAGGCCUGAUUGCUGUUGAAGUUCUCUCGUUUUAGUGCUAUUACUCUAAAUUUCUGCUGUGGAUCCUCUGUUGUUCUGAUGCCAGUUCCUUUCUGUAUUUUAACGAUUGUUUUACUACUUCUCCCC